This 18698-nucleotide long non-coding RNA is filed under the name Ananas comosus (pineapple). RNAcentral describes it as "long non-coding RNA (ACOM_LNC032790)". The record is from RNAcentral. Lineage: Eukaryota; Viridiplantae; Streptophyta; Magnoliopsida; Poales; Bromeliaceae.
CUCUCUCUCACUCUUUCCCUUUCUCUCUCUAGGAAAGAAAAGAAAAGAAAGAGAAGAAGGAGAAGAAAGAAAAGAAGGAAAAGAGGAAGAAGUUGAAGGAGAAGUUCAAGAAGAAGAAGAAGAAGGUCUUCUUCUCUCCCUCCUUCAAGCUAAGGCAAGCUUGGAGCUUGGCUUAGAGGNNNNNNNNNNNNNNNNNNNNNNNNNNNNNNNNNNNNNNNNNNNNNNNNNNNNNNNNNNNNNNNNNNNNNNNNNNNNNNNNNNNNNNNNNNNNNNNNNNNNCGAUCAGCUCGUUUCGAGCUAGGCAGUUGAUCAGCCGAGGAUGUGUAGCUUACUUGGCUAGUGUUGUGUUGAGGGGCGAGAAUGACACCCCUAGGAUUGAGGAUAUUCCGGUGGUACGGGAGUUUCAGGACGUGUGUCCAGCUGAGCUUUCGAGUAUGCCACUCGAUAGGGAGAUCAAGUUUGUGGUAGAUCUCGUCCCUGGGACUACUCCAAUCUCGAAGGCACCAUAUAGGAUGGCACCAGCAGAGCUGAAGGAGCUGAGGGCACAGCUACAGGAUCUGUUGGACAAGGGCUUCAUUCGACCGAGCGUCUCGCCGUGGGGAGCACCAGUUCUAUUCGUUAAGAAAAAAGACGGAUCACUUCGCCUAUGUGUGGACUAUCGUGAACUCAAUAAAGUCACGAUCAAGAAUAAGUAUCCGUUGCCGAGGAUCGACGAUUUGUUUGAUCAGCUUCAAGGAUCGUGUGUGUAUCCCAAGAUAGACUUGCAGUCGGGGUACCACCAGUUAAAGAUCAAACCCGAGGAUGUAUCGAAGACGGCUUUUAGAACACGGUAUGGACACUAUGAGUUCACAGUUAUGCCAUUUGGGCUUACUAAUGCCCUGGCAGCUUUUAUGGAUCUGAUGAACCGUGUUUUUAAGCCUUAUCUAGACAGGUUCGUCGUUGUAACACACUGGACCUUUGCAAAUUGCGAGGUUUGAGUGUUUGAUCGAUGUGUCGAGCUUUUCUAGAUUUUCUGGUGGGUCGUUGACUGUGUUCCGACCUAUGGCACGUAUCCCGAGAAUUGUGGUUUAAAGCUGUGUAUCAAAAUCCAAAAAAAUUGAAAGUUGGUCAGCUCUCGGGUAGCCCUCAGCAGGGCUUGUACCGGUACAAGGCUGUGGCUGUACCGGUACAAGGUUGUGGCUGUACCGAUACAAGGUUGAUGGUUGUACCGGUACAGCCAUCGGCUUGUACCGGUACAGGGCCGCAAAACCCCGCAACCCGAGCCUCGGGUUUGGCUUUUCGUGGGUCUUGUACCGGUACAAAGACCCGUGUACCGGUACAAGGCGGCAGAUUUCGUGCAAUUUGAACUGCAGGGGGUUUUUCGCGAUUGUGGACUUCUUAUAACAACACCCACGCCCCUUAGGGCUUUUUUUGUGCUGGAACCAGAGGAGGAGAAGGUGAGAGGAGCUCCAUCUUGCUCCAAUUGGAUUUGAUCUCCGUUUUAGUUGGAUUUUCGGUGGAUUAAUCCCUUUCCUUUUCUCUUUUAUGCUUUUCCACCAUUAAUGGAGCUAGAAGCUUGGAUUUGAGGCUUGGUGGAGGAGAGAUCUUUGGACUUUGAUGGUUUAGAGCUUGGAUUGGAGCAUUUUAGAGGUAAAUGACUUGUUCUUUCCUCUAAAUUCCUAGCUUUGAUGAUAUUUUUGGAAUUAAACCCUAGAAUGAGAUUUUAGGGCUUAUUUUUGGGCAUUUUGAAUCUAGGGCUUUUGAGGCUAGAUUGUUGGGAUUAGAAUCUUCCUUUGGCUUGGAUUGGAAGGAUCCUAACUCCCUUUUGAAGCUUUAAAGGAGAUUUUUGCACUAGAGGUGAGUUUUCCUCACCUAUGCUUGAUUAGCUUAAUGAUUGAGCUAAGUAUUGUUCGUUUGGUUCAUGUGACACUUGUUUUUAUACCUCUAGGGUACUAGGAGGCUAGAGGACGCCUUCGUUGGAGCAAACGAAGAGUUUCAUCGUCAUCGGUGGGUUUCGCUUCAUGAAAACGAGGCGAAAUGGCCCCUAAGCUUUCUAAACCUGUCAUCGGUGGGUUUGGCUUCAUGAAAACGGGGCGAAAUGGCCCCUAAGCUUUCUAAACCUUCCGUUUACUAUUUUUUUUUUUAAAUGCAAAUCUAUGCUAAAGGGAAUUUAUGUGAAUUUUAGAACCCCUAGAAUGCAGGUGUUAUGUAUAAGAAAAUUUUCACUCUAUAUAGUAGAGCAUUGUGGGUGUUGAUGCAUGCAUUUGGGUAGUGCUCAUGCUAGUCGUUUAGAAUCAUGUUCUAUGUGUUUAGAAUGACUUAAUUAAGCAUUGAUGAACCUUUGGGUUAAGCUUGGACUUAAUAAACGAAAGUGUCAUAAAAGGGCACUUAGACUAGCACAUUAUGAGACUAUUGUAUUGAGACAUAGAGAUAGGCCAUGGGCAUCUAUUAUUUCCAUAUUUUAGACAGGAUGACAUAGAGAUAGGCCUAUGAGAGAGUUGUGACAUAUUCCAUGUUGUAGACAUGAGGACUUGGUACUUAUGACAUACUGAUAGCAUGCUUGCCAUUGUGCUCAUUCGCACAUGCUUGUGAGGGUCGCUCCCUACAAGCCGGCACUCCGGAGUUGGCCAUUGCGAUACGUUCGCCGUGCGGGAUUGGGCGCCGAAGUGGAUUGCCGUGGGAAAGGCUCAUUCCUAGGGUCGGGAUGUUGACUACCACGGGGCCAUUAGGCAGGGUAAAGCCAGACAGCCUUCGGGUGGGUCUUAUGCCAGACAGCCUUCGGGUGGGUCUUAUCAGAGCUGAACUUUAAACAGAUAAAGUGACAAGUGAACAUUGACUAGAAUAGUAAACAAUGACAUCUUUUCUAUUACAUUGUGGACUUUGGGUAGUUGCAUAUUCAUGCAUUACAUGUUGGGUAUUCAUGUGUAUAUAUCUAGUAGUUGCUUUCUUACUUAUGCAAAUCAUGCUAAGUAGAGAUAUCAUGAUUAUUGGGUACUCGUUUAUUUAUUUAUUUACAGUGCAUUUAUCGCUUUUGUUAUAGUUGUACACUGACCCUCUUUUAUAGUCUCGGGCCUAGUGGUGCAUUUCACUGAAGUCAGUAAUUGCCCACUGGGAACUAUUAUUUAAUAGUUCUCACGCCCCUGUUUCUAUGUUUUCCUUUCAGAGCCUUCGGCACCGGCGGAGGCACGGGAUCGCGGCAAGGGUGUCGCUUAGCUAGCUCGUGAAGAGUUCUUUUGCGCUAGGUGGUUACUCCCCCUUUUUGUAUUUUGAGAGAGGGAGAGGUCUUGUGCCAUGUAUAGAGAGACCACCUUGUACUUCACUUAGCACUCGUUAUGGGGCUCCUAUUGUAUUUACUUUAUGCCUUUAUUAGUGGAUUAUCAGCUUUAUGUUCUCUUUUUUGUUUUAGAACUAGUUGUAAAAUGCUCUGAUAUCACUAGAUCUCUUUGUAUUACUGUUUUAAUUAUUGGAAAUUUUUGUAGACGCCUUAUAUGUUUUAGACGUAUGGCGGGUCUGGACACGUGCCGGGUAGGCUUCCGCUGAGCCCCAGGGCGUGACAGUCAUGGUAUUCAUCGACGACAUUUUGGUUUAUUCCCGAAGCGAUGCGGAUCACGAGGAGCAUUUGAGGCUAAUACUUCAAUUACUUCGGGAAAAGGAGCUUUAUGCCAAGCUGAAAAAGUGUGAAUUUUGGCUUCGAGAGGUAGCCUUCCUUGGACAUUUGAUAUCGGGAUCGGGUAUAGCCGUGGAUCCUAAGAAGAUUGAGGCUAUCAAGGAUUGGCCGAGACCGACAAGCGUUACGGAGAUUCGGAAUUUCCUUGGAUUGGCCGGUUACUACCGGAGAUUUGUCGAGGGGUUCGCUAAGCUAUCUACUCCCCUCACGAGGCUCACGCAUAAAGGUGCCAAGUUCAUCUGGAAUGAUGCGUGUGAGAGAAGCUUCCAAGAGCUGAAGCAACGACUGACAACCGCCUCGAUCCUGACCCUACCUGUUGCUGGAGCAGGGUAUGUGGUUUAUAGUGAUGCUUCACAUAAUAGAUUGGGCUGUGUUUUGAUGCAGGACGACAAAGUGAUCGCGUAUGCUUCUCGCCAACUAAAGGAAUAUGAAAAGAAUUAUCCUACGCACGAUUUGGAGUUGGCGGCCGUAGUCUUCGCAUUGAAGUUAUGGCGCCACUACUUAUAUGGCGAGCGGUGCGAAGUAUACAUGGAUCACAAGAGCUUGAAGUAUUUGUUCACUCAGAGGGAGUUGAACUUGAGACAGUGUAGAUGGUUGGAGCUGCUCAAGGAUUAUGAUUUGACUAUUUUUUACAACCCGAGUAAGGCUAACGUGGUGGCGGAUGCGCUAAGUAGGAAAUCAACAGAAAACUUAGCGAUGCAUGUUGUUACUCAACCGCAGUUGAUCAAGCAGAUGAAGCGGUUGGAGUUGGAGGUAGUGAUUCCUGACACACCUUUGAGAUUGAUGACCUUGGUAGUGCAACCUAUACUCUUGGAUAGAAUUAAAGAGAAGCAAGCUUCCGAUGUGGAGUUGCAAAGGAUUAAAGGUAAUAUGGUUGAUGGUUGCACCGCCGACUACCUUGUGGAUGACCAAGGAUUGAUGCGUUUUCGUGGGCGGAUUUGUGUACCGGCGGAUUCGGAAAUUAAAGAGGAUAUUUUUCAAGAAGCACACCGAGCGCCCUAUGCUAUACAUCCGGGAGGCACCAAGAUGUACAAGGACUUGAAGUUGCUUUAUUGGUGGCCCGAGAUGAAAAAGGACGUUGGCGAGUUUAUAGCUCGUUGUCUAACUUGCCAACAAGUAAAGGCUGAGCAUCGAUUACCCGCGGGAAAACUUCAGAGUUUGCCUAUUUCCUAUGGAAAUGGGAGAAGAUCACCAUGGAUUUUGUGACUGGACUGCCCCGCUCUCAAGUCGGGCAUGAUGCUAUAUGGGUGAUCGUGGAUAGGUUGACGAAGUCGGCGCACUUCAUACCUAUUCAUACUACUUGGACCGGAGAGAAGCUCGCACAGGUGUACCUUGAUGAGAUUGUGCGACUUCACGGAGUACCUACAUCGAUAGUAUUGGAUCGAAACACUCAGUUUGUAUCUCACUUUUGGAGGAGUCUACAGGACGCCAUGGGCACCCGACUAGACUUCAGCACUGCUUUCCACCCUCAGAGUGAUGGGCAGUCGCAGCACACCAUUCAGAUUUUAGAGGAUAUGCUCCGAGCUUGUGUGAUAGACUUCCAAGGUGGAUGGUCGUAGGAUUUACCGAUGGCGGAGUUUGCUUAUAACAACAGUUUUCAAGCAAGUAUUAAGAUGGCGCCAUUUGAAGCACUUUAUGGACGGAAGUGUAGAUCACCACUUCAUUGGAGUGAAGUCGACGAGAGAUUGGCAUUAGGCCCUGACGUGCUCCAGGAAGCUGAGGACAAGGUUCGAAUUGCUCGGGAGCGACUUUUGACGGCACAGAGUAGACAGAGGAGCUACGCCGAUCGACGACGGCGAGACUUGGAGUUCCAAGUUGGAGACCAUGUUUUCUUGAAGGUCUCGCCGACUAGAGGGAUCAAGAGAUUUGGGAUUCGGGGUAAGUUGAGCCCCCAUUUCAUCGGACCGUAUGAGAUUUUGGAACGUGUAGGUUUGGUAGCGUAUCGACUUGCUCUACCACCGAACCUAUCGGGCGUGCACAACGUCUUUCAUGUAUCGGUCCUUCGGAAGUAUGUCUUCGACCCGACUCAUGUGUUGGAUGCUAUACCUGUGGAGUUGCGGGACAAUUUGAGCUUCGAGGAGCAACCAGUGAGAAUUUUGGCUCGCGAGGUGCGGAAACUCCGGAAUUGGGAUAUUCCAUAUGUGAAGGUUCUUUGGAGCAACCACAGAGAGCGGGAGGCCACGUGGGAGCUAGAGAGCGCGCUGCGGGAACGCUAUCCCCAUCUUUUUCAGAUGGAGCUUUGAGGUAUGUGUUGCUUUUGAGUUUCGCGGACGAAACUCCUUAUUAGGAAGGGUGAAUGUAGCACACUGGACCUUUGCAAAUUGCGAAGUUCGAGUGUUUGAUAUGUAUUCCGAACUUUUCCACACUUGGUGGAAGGUCGUAGAUGGUAUUCCGAUCUAAAAGUUCGAUUUUUGGAAUUUGGCUAAGUCCUGGAGUUUUCACUCUCGGGGACCAGUCCCUGGCUAGGAGAGACCGGUUCCAUCUGAACAGUGUCGUGGCCAGCUUGAGGCAACCUGUCCCUGGCUGGGAGAGACCGGUUCCCGAACGCGUGUUUUGCGGGAAGGGUCCGAGAGACCGGUCCCCGGCGGGGAGAGACCGGUUCCCGAACGUUGGUUUUGCGGGGCAGGCUGAGAGACCGGUCCAAGGUGUCGGGGAGAUCGGUCCAUCAGCACGAAAGUUGCCCAGACCGGACAGUGCACAAGUUGCAUUUUAGAGGGACCUAGGUGGAUUUUGUUACAUUUGAAGGCUUAUAGAGCCUUUCCUCUCCCUCUCACCCUCAUUUUCAUCCUCCUUACACUUCUAGAGAGAGAAGAAGAAGGAGAAGAAGAAGGAGAAGUUGGAGAGCAAGCUUGAGGGAGCUUGGAGCAUCUUCCUCUUUCCCAUUUCUCACUUUUGGAGGCUUAGAGCUUGGACUUGGAGCUUUGUGGUGGAUUAAUCUUCAACCCUAAAGCAUUUUGAGUUUGGUUUGGAUCUCCUGUUGAGGUUAGUUGCUUAUUUCUCCCCUCUAGACCUAUUUUUGGUAGAUUUUGGGAAAUGAAACCCUAGAAAUAAGAUUUAGGGUUUAUUUUGGGAAUUUUUUGAUUUGAGGGUUUGGAGACCUAAUUGAUGGGUUUAGAACCUUCCUCUAGGUUGGGUUGGAAGGGUUCUUGCUCUCUUUGAAAGCUUGGGCAGGGAUUUCAUCACAAGAGGUGAGUAUAUCCUUUAUGCUUAGAUGGUUUAAGAUUGAGCUUUUCGAUGUUCGUUUCGAUUGUGUAACUCUUGUUCCUACAUCUUUAGGGUGCUAGGAGACUAGUGGACACCUCCGUUCGGCGAAACGAAGAGUUUCGAUUUUCGGUGGGUUUGGUUUUAUGAAAACGGGGCGAAAUAGUCCCUGUGUUUUCUAUACUUGUCGUAACGUCAUUUUAAAUGCAAAUCUAUGCUUAAUGAAAUUUAUAUGAAUUUUAGAACACUUAAAAUGAAUAUGUUAUGUAUAAAAAAAUUUGCACUCUAUAUAGUAGAGCAUUCUGGGUAUUGUUACAUGCAUUUGGGUAGUGUUCGCAUUAGUCGUUUGGAAACAUGCUUCAUAUGUUUAAAGUGGCUCAAUUAUGCAUUUAUGAACAUUUGGGUUAAACUUAGACUUAAUAAAUGAAAGUGUCAUAAAGGGGCACUUAGACUAGCACACUAUGAGACUAUUGUUUUGAGACUUAGAGAUAGGCCAUGGACAUCUACUACUUUCCAUGUUUUAGACAUGAUGACAUCAAGAUAGGCCUAUGAGAGAGUUGUGACAUAUUCUAUGUUGUUAGACAUGAGGACUUAGUACUUGAGACGGAUCUUUCGUUAUUUGCCAUUGUGCUCAUUCGCACAUGCUUAUGAGGGUCGCUCCCUACAAGCCGGCACUCCGUAGAUGGCCAUCGCGAUACAUAUUCGCCGUGCGGGAUUGGGCGCCGAAGUGAAUUGCCGUAGGAAAGGCUCAUUCCUAGAGUGGGGAUGUUGACUACCACGGGGCCAUUAGGCUCAGCACCGGCUAGACAGCCUAUGGGUGGGUCUCAGGACCAGACAGCCUUCGGGCGGGUCUCUUCAGAUUUGAUUUUGAGCAUUCAUCAUGCCAUGUGGAUAUUGAUUAGAAUAGUAAACAAUAACAUCUUUACUAUUUGACUUAUGGACAUCAUACUAGCGAUGCUUGGGUACAUUCAUACAAGAAUAGCUUUUCUUACUUAGGCUAAAUCAUGCCAAGUAGAGAUAUCUUGUGGUAGUAAAUAUUCAUGCUUAUUUAUUUGUCGGACAUAUCGUAUUUGUUUACAUCUACUUACCGACCCCUUUUUAGUUUGGGCCUAGUGGUGCAUUUCACUGAAGCCAGUAAUUGCCCACUGGGAACUAUUAUUCAAUAGUUCUCACGCCCCCCUGUUUUAUGGUUUUAUUUCAGAGCCUUCGGCACCGGUGGAGGCACGGGAUCGCGGCAAGGGAGUCGCAUAGCUAGAUAGCGGAGCUUGCUGUUGCUCCUAGGUGGUCACUCUCUCCUUUUUAGGUCUUGUGAGAGAAAGAGUUUUGAGUACCAUGUAUAGAGAGACUACCUAUGUACUUGUUUAGCUUUUGUAUUGGGAUUCCUAUUGUAUUCACUUUAUGUUUUUACUUAGUGGAUUUACUUUUAUAUUCCUCACCCUUAUUGUGGCUUGUAGAUAUACCUUGCUGUGAUGCUUCUAGAUGUUCUUUUUAUUGUCUUACUUAUCAUUUUGUUUUAAACGCCUUGUAUGUUUUAGACAUACGGCGGGUCUGAGUACGCACCGGGCGGGCUUCCGCUGGGUCCUGGGGCGUGACAUACACGCAAUGUAGGAGGAGUAGCUCAAGCAUGAGCAAUCUUGCCGCCACGGUGUCGAGCUCCACUUCGGGUGUCUCCGCCAAGCCUGUGGCCUCGUCAUUGCCCUCUCCUCUUCCUCUUCCACCACUGCUGUCACUGCCACUGCCGUGUUGGAAGAGGUGGCGGCGCCCUUCGAUUUACGGCACAUCAACCUCUUCGAUGGUCUAGGAUUUCGCCUUCUUUGCCGCCUAAGAUGAGGGCAAGAGGCCGCUGAGAGGUAAGAAGGGGGCGGAUAGGGACUCCAGGAACCUUAAAAGGCCGCAGAUGGAGGAAAUAUAAUACUACCGAAUAAAGAAGCUGUAUUAUUUUGUUAUCAACGUGAGGUAUUAUAUUUUAAAACAAUGUAUAUAAUGCUACGAUAUCAUAGAUAAUUUUAUAUUGGGAUCUUUCAAAGUUGCAAGUAGCUGCGACGAGAUCGAGCAUUCAAAUUCGUUUAAUAAAAAAUAGUAAAUCUCUUUGUGCACAUUUUGUAUUUUAUAAUUUUUUAAAAAUUUUUAGUCAUUAUAUCGCGCGAAUCCCUACACAAAUAGAAAACUAUUAUAACCAAACAGUUUAGCACAGUUUAGCAAGAAUACCUUGGUAAAGUUCUACGUGAUACGACUUUUAAACUUUAAAAAUUAUAAAUUUUUUAAUUAAAGAGGCUUACUCUCGCUUUUACCUUUUCCGUCUUUUUCUUCCUUCGUGCCCACUCUUCCUCUUCUCCUUGCCAAAUUCUUAAAACCCCCUUCUUAGAAGCCCUUUACCCUAAAUCCUAACGCCAUUGAAUGCGAAAGCCCUACUCCAACCCCCCGAAAACCCUUGUAAUCUAAUCCCAAAAAUCCUAAGCCCCCUGAUGGAAGAGGGCGACAACAGCACCGCCGCCAACGUCGCCCGCGCCAUCGCCGCGGCCCUCGACUGGAGCUCGCCUCCCGAUGCCCGAAAAGCCGCCGUCGCCUACUUGGAAUCGGUAGGUUUUUCGCAGCGAUGUUGCGAUUAUUAGAUGUUUUGGUUGGCCUUUUGUGAAUCGGAGAUGUGCAUUAUUUGAUUUUGGUUGCUUGGUUGUGAGAAAGUUAGGUUUUUUGGUUGGUCCCAAUGCAUGUUGUUGGAACAGUUUGGGGAUUUGUUGGUGUUUUUUGAAUUGUUCCGAGUUGCAUUAUGCAGAUUAGUUUAUGCGAACUAGUAAUGUUGAUGAAACGCAGAUGAAAUACCGAAAUGCAUGAUGAAUGACAGUGUGAAGCCUCUUAUAUUCUUACUACUUGGAAUAUGGAGUAACAAAAUUAGAGUUGUAAUAGCAAAGCUACUUUUUUGGUGUAAUGGUUGAAAUGGUAUUGUAAGCAAGAGCUGCGAAAUGAAGCUAUUGUAGGAAGAGUAAAAUGGGAAGGAGGGACAUCGCUCAUGUGUGCUCGAUAGAGUUCUUCUUUGAUCGAACUGUCACAAUGCUUCAGAAGCUCUUUUUAAAGAAAUGAUUUUGAUAUUUCUAUUAAAUAAAAAAAAUCCUCUAUCUAGGGCAUGUUGGUAGCACCGAUGGAGAGAGAGUAGUUCUCUAAUUUUGGAAAUACACUUAUUGGUUUCUGAUAGCAAUACAACUUAGCUUGGAUACUAAGGCCUGAUUUGGUAUUCCGUUGACAAAAGCACCCGCUUUAAUGCUGUAGAAGGCCAAAAAAUCCAAAAGUGCUUCCAAACUUAUUAGCUUUUAUGACCCCUGAAAGAUUUGGAAACAUUAAAAACAUAACUCACAAGAGACAACUAGAAUGUGUUAUCAAGUUGUGAUAAUGGCAUUCCUAACAUGAGAACUAGAGUUAUUGUGUCAACCCCAAUAUAUAGAUGUUCUAAGAUAGGGUUCAUAUGUUGUAGAAUUUAGAGUAUAAAAGUGGACUUUUUUGCUUUAAUCGGUAUUUCUAAGAAUUUGACAUCAAUAUGACAAAAACAGUGCACUUUUCUCCAUCUCUCUGGCAAAUGGUAGUAAAAGUGACCUUAUAAUUCAAAAUUUUCCAUGAACCAAUGCGAGUUUGGUCCUCUAUGUUUAUGUUUAUUUAUAAAUCAUUUUUCUCAUAAAGGAAAAUAGACUUAUUGAAUUUGUUCAGAUUUUAAUAGUUACAGUGCAACUCAAUAUUACAUUUUUGAAUGUUAUAAAGAACCUGAAUAUAUUGAAUUGUUUUCCUUGAUUUUGAAGAACAUGUUUCUAGUGCAAAUAUUAUUCUUUAUAGAAACCCAUGGUAACACUUGCUAGAUGUGGAUGAUUUUUUGCACUCUAUUUUUGCUGCUGACUUGCUAUUCUGUUUACUAUGGUACCCUAAACUAUAAACCCUAAACCUCAAGAACCUAAACCCAUGUUAAUGGUUAUUUUUCAAUUUUGUCUCAUGCAUUUGGUAGUAAAGAUACUAUAGUUGUAUUAAGUUUAUUUUAUUCCAGGUGAUGCUGGUUAGUGGGCUAUAACACAACUACCAAUCUAGCCAAUGGCUUGAUAAAGAAGAAUACCUCAACUACACUGUUUCUGGAUACCAUUGAUUGUUAUACUGUUUUUAUUUUUCUUUUCCCGAGUACUUUAUUUAUGUGUACUACUGCUUUUUGGAUGCUUGAAAUCUUUGCUUAAUGCUAAAAGUGCUGAUAGCUACUCACUCUUUCAUGAUAAUGUAAAUUCUUCAUCUAUUCAUGAUAUUGUUUUAUUACCUUGCUCCUCCGCUUAGUCUACUCUGGACUAUAAGUAGUUCCCAUUCUAAUGUCAUCAUUCUCCCUACCUGUAUAGGAAUAGAAUGCUGUGUCCGUUUUCAUAUUUUAAAACUUCCAAAAACUUAACAAACUUUUUAUCUGCUGGGAGAGUCCCCAAAAUCCAAUUUCUGUUCAGUUAAUUGACUAGUUUUGAUUCUCUGGUAGAUCAAUAAAAUGGAAAGCUUAUAGAUGAGUUUCAAACAAAUACUUCCGGCUACUACAUAACAGAUAGUAGGUGCUUGCUACUUUCAUUUGCCGCAGGCUAAAUCCUAUGUUAAGUUUGUUUAAUCAGGUAUUAUGGCUUACUGCCUGAAGGUAGCUACAUUUAUCUCUGGUGAUAAAGUCCAUGUGUUCUCAUUAAUUGUGUUUGCAAUUAUUAUUAACAACAUAAGCACUUUUGGACUAUAAAUUUUCAAUGUUUAUAGUAAUUGGUAUCUUCUUAAUUUGUAUGUGCAGGUUAAGAAUGGAGAUGUCCGUGUUUUGGCAAAUACAUCCCUUCUUUUGGUUCGGAAGGAUUGGUCAUCUGAGAUUCGACUCCAUGGGUUCAAAAUGCUACAGGUUCACUCUCAUCUGCACCAUUUUUUUUUGUUUAUUUAUAAGUUAUAAUCUGAACUUCUUUAACAUAAAUCAGUCAUUAUUUCUGGAAGGAAAUAAAGAACACAAAGUUUCUUCCUAGAAGAACACUGCUCUUACUAAAUAAUUGCUUAAUGAAUUUCCUCGUGACGCCUAAUUUCAACAGUGGUUUCAAUUGAUGAUCAGACUACUUUGCAUUUCCUUGUUGUCUUUGCUUGAAAUUUGUCUUGUCUCUAAGGUGAUUCAAACAGAAGUUCCAUGUGAUACUGUCGUGGAAAUUGGAAUUUUUGAGUUUCACUUCAACAAGCCAUUAGGUGGAUGUUUUCCGGCCAUUACUUUGUUGUGCAAGCCGAUUGUGUUUUAACAUAUGCUUUUUUAUUAGGAACACAAUGGGUUUUUUGAGUUUGAAGGCAGCUAACUCUAGUUUGCCUCCAAACUCCUAUAUUUGACCUAAUUUUGAACUGGUUGGCAAGAUUCUUGCAUGGUUGUAAUUGUGUGCUGGGAGCACUAGAUUCUUUUGAUGGAAAGAUGGGCUGGAGAAAUGAGUUGAGGCGGCUGCAUAUAUGUGUGAAUGAUGCAAGUAUUGUCACAUGCAAUUUCUGUUUUGUCAUAAUUGAUUUUGUUUGUUGAUAUGACCAACCUGAAAUAGUUACCUUGAUAAGGAUUCGAGUUGGCAGUGGACAUAUUUGUUAAUUCAAUUCAUUAGCUCUUCUAUUAUUUUUGACUUUUGAUGCCAGGGUGUCAGGGGCGUUGGGCAAAACCCAAUCCUUCACCCAAACAUCAUGUUUUCAACAUUCUGGCAUAUAUUGCAUUGUUGCCAGGGGUCUUCUCUUAAUAAUAUCGGGGUCAUAUUAAACACAACUCAGUGAUAAGAAGCCUUUAGAAAAAGAGUAAGUUUUCUUCCUAAUGAUUGUCAAUUUGAUAUGAUUCACCAGAAGUUGGUGCCGUGUCCUUUUCGUAACUAAAGUCAAACAAUAUAAGAAAUUUUCAUUAAUUCUGGUUGGUUGGUAAAGUAAUAUACCUUCUUGGUGGCAACUUAGAGCGCGUUUGGUUCGCGUUAUCUGUAUUGGGUUACUGAAAAUCUUAUACAAGUUGCAACUGUUAGGUAAUGUUGGUUAGUAAUCUGGUCAGGAACUUCUUAUUCCGAAAGAAAAAAUCCUAUUAACAAGUAGGGGGAUGGGUAUCUCUUAUUCCUGAGUUUGUGAAACCUGAAUACAGGCACCGUUUGGAUUAGGGAUAAGGGGAGGGAUAACCCCUUACCCCCCCCUUUUUACCCAAACGCAAAUUUUUUACCCGAAAAUAGUAGUUCUCGGGUACCUAAAAUAAGCUGGUAUAACUAUCCUCACCAACACCUCCAUUUUCUAUAUAUAACUAUCCACUGUUUUUCUUAUUCCAUAUUAUCUAUCCAAACGCUAUUUUUCUUAUCCCCUUACUUGUACCUAUCCCUGUAAUAGCUAGUUCUUGCUUAUACCCCAACCAAACGAAGCCGUCCAAACUAUCCUCAUUUCCAAUUCAAAUCAUAAAUUCACAUUUAAAUUUAUUUUUAAAUUCAAAUUUGAAAUUUAAAAUUUACAUUUUGAAUUCAAUUUUAAUUCAAAAUUUGAUUUUGAAUUCAAAUUUCAAAUUCAAAUUUAGAUUUUUGAAUUCAAAUUUCAAAUUCAAAAAUUGAUUUUGGAUUCAAAAUUUGAAUUAAAAAUUUGGUUUUUGAUUCAAAUUUCAACUUCAAGUUUAGAUUUUGAAUUCAAAUUCAAAUUCAAAUUUAGAUUUGACUUCAAUUUCAAAUUCAAAUUUAGAUUUUGAAUUCGGAUUUCAAUUGUUUUCAUAGUUUGAUUUCAAAUUUUAAAUUGUAAAUCUGAAUUUGAAUUCGGGUUUCAAAUUCAAAUUUAGAUUUGAAGUCAAAUUUAAAAUUCCAAUGCAAAAUUUGAAUACGAAUUUAAAAUUCAAAUCCAGAUUAUGAAAUUGAUUUCAAAUUUAAAUUAAAUUAAUUUUCAAAUUCAAAUUCAAAAUUUGAAUUUCAAAUUCAUAUUAUGAAUUUGAUUUCAAUUUAAUUCAAAUUUUAAAUUCAAGUUUUAAAUUCAAAUCCAAAUUUUAAAUUCAAAUUUCAAAAUUUGAAAUUUAAAUUCAGAUUUUGAAUUGAAAAUUUUAAAUUUCAAAUUCCAAAUCAGAUUUCAUAUUAUGAAAUUGAUUUCAAAUUUAAAUUAAAUUAAUUUUGAAAUUCAAAUUCGAAACUUGAAUUCGAAUUUGAAAUUCAAAUUCAUAUUAUGAAUUUGAUUUCAAUUUAAAUUCAAAUUUUUAAUUCAAAUUUUAAAUUCAAGUUUCGAAUUCAAAUCCAAAAUUUAAAUUCAAAUUUCAAAAUUUGAAAUUUAAAUUCAGAUUUUUUGAAUUAAAAAUUUUAAAUUUCAAAUUCCAACUCAAAUUAUGGAUUUAAAUUUGAAAAUAAAAUCCGAUUUGGAAUUCAAAUUUUAAGUUCAAUGGUAUAUAUGUAAGUGAAUGAAAUUUUUAAGUAUAGGAGUAAUUUUACAAAACCAUGUAAAUAACUGUUGACAUUGCUGAAGUUUAUUGUUAAACCAAAUAUAGUAAUUUUAUAAUCCUAGUAAUCUUUGAUGAGAUAAUUGUGCGGACGAAAUGUAGGAAGUAUACAAUUCGCUGUAAUCUCGUUACUACGAAUGAAAUUCUCAUUAAUAUAACACAAUAAUCAAAAAAAUAUCAUAUAUAUAUAUAUAUAUAUAUAUAUAGAACUAGGCUAAUAUACUAUUAAUAGCACCAAUUCAUUAGUGCUACCAAGUUUUUGGCCAUUGGAUUAAGAGAUGUGCGGUUAGGAUGAUGUGGGCCCCUAGGGUUGAGUGGGUUGUUGGUUGAAUAGUAUGAUCUAACGGAUAAAAAUAAUCGAAGGGGUUAAUCCAAUGACAGAAAACUUAAUAGCACCAAGUGUUGGUACUAUUGAUAGCAUAGCAGCCAGACUCUAUAUAUAUAUAUAUAUAUAUAUAUCACUUUUAAUCAAUUAAUUGACUCCGAAUAUGAAACACAACAAAGGUUUGAAUUUGCAAAUUUAACAAAGAUGGUGGAAGACCAAAAGGUAAAGAAAAGGAGUAAAAAAAAACUUUUUAGGCCUUAGUAAAUCUAAAGAAAAUGAGAAAAAGUAAAAAAAAAAAAAAGUAGCUCCCACUUCUCCUCAAAUUAAGGGCGUGGGUACAUAUAGGAUUUAGUCAUGGGGAUUAAUGUAUAGGUAUAGAUAACCAUUUAAAUGUUCUGUUGUUAGCCCUCCGUUGUCCCGAAUUAGCAUGAUUUAAUUGGCACUCAGCUUUUCAGUCCUCAUGCUUAGUCCACUAGUGCUUAAUUUCUUUUUUUUUUUUGUUUUGCUUUCGAUGUUUGUUGUUACAACACUUACUCCAUCCUAAUAAUGAUUUGCUCAUAUAGACAAACAAGAGAUAAGAUGAAACAGAUAAAUAAAAAAAAUAAAUAGGGAGCAUCUAAAAGGUAAGACUAAAUUAUGGCAUCAAAGUAAACAAAAGAGUAUAAGAAAAUAGGUAAAUAAAAAGUAUAUCAAGAUGAUAAGUACAUCAAAGUAAAUGCAUACAUCGAUGAGCAUUGANAGAUGAAACAGAUAAAUAAAAAAAAUAAAUAGGGAGCAUCUAAAAGGUAAGACUAAAUUAUGGCAUCAAAGUAAACAAAAGAGUAUAAGAAAAUAGGUAAAUAAAAAGUAUAUCAAGAUGAUAAGUACAUCAAAGUAAAUGCAUACAUCGAUGAGCAUUGAUGAGUACUAGACCAAUUCAUUAAUAAUAAAUUAAUUAGAUAAUAUAGUAUAAAUAAAUUAAUAAUAAUUAUAAAUAAUAAAUUAUUAAUAAUUAUAAAUAAUAAAUUAACUAAUUAAUAAUAAAAUAAAUAAUAAGGCUCUGUGGUAUAAGAUCAAUAAAAGGCGUCGGGUCCAAACAGUCUUAGCAAGCGUGUAUGCCACAGAGCGAUACUUCGCUUUAGAACUAGAGGGAGAGACAGUAGGUUGCUUCUUGGCCGACCACGAGAUAAGAUUAGGUUCAAGAAAAAUACAAUAUCCAGAGCUAGACCGGCGUGUAUCUGGGCAACUAGCCUAAUUAGCGUCAGAGAAGGCAAUGAGCGAGGGAUUAUCAUAGCGAGAGAUAUGAAUACCAUAUGAUAGUGUCCCACAAACAUAUGAUAGCGUCCCGUGAACAUAACGAAAGAGAUGUUUGACAGCUUGCAUGUAAGGCUCGUGAAGUGCAUGAAGAUACGGAGCAACGAUAUUGAUAGCAUAGGAGAUAUCUGGCCGUGUGAAAGUAAGAUAUUGCAACGCACCAACCAUCUGACGAUAGAUGUAGGGAUCAUCAAGAGCGUGCCCUUCAUGAGACGAAAAGCGAGUGCGGUAGGAAAAAGAGUAGUAGAAACCGGCUUACUAGCAAGAAACCAUGACACUCAAGGAGCUGGUGCGCAUAUUUCUGUUGAGUCAGAUAAAGACCAGAAGAAGAGUACGUGACUUCAACACCCAAAAAAAUAAUGUAAAGGACCUAAAUCCUUUAUCGCAAACUCUUGCUGUAGAGAACGAAUAAGAGACGCAAUAAGAGAAAAAGAACUCCCAGUAACAAUAAUAUCAUCAAUAUAUAGGAGGAGAAUAAGAGUCCCAGAGGGUGAGUGGCAAGUGAACAUCGAGGGAUCUACAGUGCUGCCUACAAAAUCAAUCUUUGAAAGGAAGGCGGUAAACCGCUGAAACGAAGUCCAAGGUGCUUGCUUGAGUCCAUAAAUUACCUUCUUCAGUCGACAUACAUGAUUAGGAAAUGAUGGAUGUAUAAAAGGCAUGCGGUCAUUUCGUAUAAACUCUCUCAAAGAGAGCCAUGAAGAAAUGUAUUCUUCACAUCAAGUUGUCGAAGUGUCCACCUAGAAGAGAAAGCAAUCGAAAGAACAAUAUGAAUAGUAGUUGGCUUAAUAACCGGAGGAAAUGUCUCAUCAAAGUCAACACCUUGUUGCUGCUUAUAGCCCUAAGCUACCAGCUGAGCUUUGAGACGCUCAAGAGAACCAUCCGCUUUCUGUUUGACCUUGUAUACCCACUUGUAGCCAACAAGAUUUAUUGAUGAUGGCGGAGGAACAGGAUCCCAAAUAAAAUUUCUAAUAAGGCAUUAUACUCGGUCAUAGCUGUACACCAACUUGCAUCUUGAGAGGCCUUAGCAAAAGUAGGCUUAGUAGGAAAUAAAGACCGUGUAGAAGCCAAAAGUGAGGUAGCCUGAGUCAAAUUUUGUGUCAUGGACCAUGUGAGCAUAGGUUGUGAGCAAGAAGGGAUUGGUGGAGCUACAGUUGAAGUAGGUAAUGUAGAUGACGAUGCGGGUUGCUCAGUAGCUGUAUGGGUGGAGGUGGAAGGAUCAUAUGGUGGUGGAGCAAGGUUGGUGGGUGCACUAGUUCUAGAGAGGUGAUGUUGGGUAUAAACGCGGAGCUCUUUGUGACCAAGAGUAGAGGUAUCAUUCUCAUCUUUAAUCUAUGCAUUAUCAGAGUCCAAGUUGGUAGGAAAUUGAGGUAGAUUUCCAGAUGGUGGUGAAACAGACUGGAUAAGAUGAUUGGUGCCAGAAACACUAGAACACACAAAACUGAAGCCAGAGAUAGCUUUAAGGAGAGAUGAACUCUCACCUAGUAAGGGAGGAUUAGAGAGAGUUUCGAAACAGUUGAAAGUUUGAAUUCACAGAUACUGAAGAAUUAGAAAAUUUGGAAAGAUAGGAAAAAGGCAAAACUGUUUCAAUAAAGGUAACAUGCCAAUAAAUGAAGAUCUUACUAGUACUUGGAUAGAGACAGCGAAAAUCUUUAUGCUUAUCAGACAAUCCCAACUCCCAAGUACACACAAAGAAGGGAUCGGAGAGAAAGCUUAUGAUCAGCAACAUCCUGCAAUUGAGAUAACAUAAAUACCCAAACACCUUAACAAGUUGCAAGUUAGAGGGGACACGACCAUACAAGAUAUCAUAGGGCGAUUUUCCUUUUAAAACAGUAAAAGGAGUGCGGUUGUCACGCCCCGAGAUCGCUACCAAUUUGGUCCGGUUCGAGCGCGUCAAACAGACGUCGAACGGACAGCACCUCCCCUGUCCGCCCAAGGCUAAACCACCAGAUCAUGUACAAGAAUUUGCCCAGGAGAAGAAAUUUGAUACAUACAUGAUCGACUAGAAGCACACAAGUGCGAUACAACUAAGAGCAAGAACCACAAGUAUAUGUACAAGUGUAUAAAGAGAGAUACAUCUAACUAUUACAACCAUUCAACGUUUACAUAAUUGAUUACAUUACAUUUCCAUCUUCCAAAAUGUAAUACAUGGUCAUCUCCAAAAUACAUGGGUAGCCCUCCAACAACGAUCAAAAUAUACAUAUAGUACACGAGGGUACUCUAUAUGCAUGUAGGAAAGCUACUAACUAACUCAGGGCGCUAUGCCCUUGCCGCGGUCCUCGCCCGGAGCACUGGUACUCGGCCCUGCAACAGAGUAGGGUGAGAACUAUAUAAAUACAGUUCCCAGUGGGUUUGACCGCCGACUCCGCCGAUCUUCCCACUAGGUCUAAGCAGGCAUAAGCAGAUAGAUAGAUAGGUAGAAAUGUAAACUGCAACUAUUCUACCAUGCCUUCAAUGCGAUGCCAUGUAUGAAAUAAUCAUCAUGCAAUAGUAUACUAUCAUGCUAGUAUGAUGUUAAGAGUAUGUAUAUGUAACAUAGCAAUGCAAUCUACAACAUACAUUAUGUCUACUCAAGGUAAGAAUGCAAUUCUACUAUGCCAUUCAUGUUCAUUACCCAAUUUACCUGGCUAACCCGUAGGUUAAGCCCUCGACUCACUCUCAAUCUCAUAGGUGAGAAGAAGCUGCACUCGCACACCGAGACCGUCUGCAGGACAACUACGUCUGCCCCUGUGUGAAGUACUCCGGAGACCACUGCUUCGGUGGAGCGACCACCGACAAGCGAAACAGACUGGUGAGUAUGAUCCAAUCCUCAC